Molecule: small nucleolar RNA, 125 nt
Organism: Medicago truncatula (barrel medic)
Lineage: Eukaryota; Viridiplantae; Streptophyta; Magnoliopsida; Fabales; Fabaceae
Rfam family: Small nucleolar RNA SNORD14
About the family: U14 small nucleolar RNA (U14 snoRNA) is required for early cleavages of eukaryotic precursor rRNAs. In yeasts, this molecule possess a stem-loop region (known as the Y-domain) which is essential for function. A similar structure, but with a different consensus sequence, is found in plants, but is absent in vertebrates.
Source: Rfam
CGUCUGUGAUGAUAUUAUUAAGGCUUGUUUCUCAAAACAUUCGCAGUGGCCGACCAAGAGCUUUCGCCUUCGCCAGGCUUGAGAGCUAAUGCUGUUUUUUUUUCCUUCCUUGGAUGUCUGAGACG